RNAcentral lists this ribosomal RNA (1984 nucleotides) under Daphnia cf. magna XH-2014. RNAcentral describes it as "SSU rRNA". It matches the Rfam family "Eukaryotic small subunit ribosomal RNA", at positions 37 to 1575 of the family's 1831-position model. Lineage: Eukaryota; Metazoa; Arthropoda; Branchiopoda; Diplostraca; Daphniidae. The record is from RNAcentral.
UUAGAAAUUAGCAAUGCAUGUCUAAGUACAAGCCGCUAGUCGGCGAAACCGCGAAUGGCUCAAUAAAUCAGUUAUGGUUCCUUAGAUCCACUCCAUCCUACUUGGAUAACUGUGGUAAUUCUAGAGCUAAUACAUGCACUCGAGCCUCGACUGCGUACUCGUUUCGGCGGGCGCGCAGAAGAGGUGCUUUUAUUAGAUCAAAACCAGUCGGGGAAGGGAGCGCUCUUCGGGGCGUUCUCGGAACCGUACCAAUUUUGGUGACUCUGGAUAACUUCACGCCGAUCGUACGGCCUUUGCGCCGACGACGUAUCUUUCAAAUGUCUGCCUUAUCAACUGUCGAUGGUAGGUUACGCGCCUACCAUGGUUGCAACGGGUAACGGGGAAUCGGGGUUCGAUUCCGGAGAGGGAGCCUGAGAAACGGCUACCACAUCCAAGGAAGGCAGCAGGCGCGCAAAUUACCCACUCCCGGCACGGGGAGGUAGUGACGAAAAAUAACGAUACGGGACUCUUCCGAGGCCCCGUGAUUGGAAUGAGUACACUUUAAAUCCUUUAACGAGGAACCAUUGGAGGGCAAGUCUGGUGCCAGCAGCCGCGGUAACUCCAGCUCCAAUAGCGUAUAUUAAAGUUGUUGCGGUUAAAAAGCUCGUAGUCGGAUGUCUGUCUUCGGCCGGGCGGCGCCGCUCUGAAACAAGGGUGUUGCGUUUCACGCUCUGGGAGCCCGGGUGUCAAAGCCCGACUCUCUUUACGGUCGGACAACAUCGCCGGAGUGGUGGUCGGUGAUUUGUGGUUGUAUCGGUUUUUUUUCUCUCGACGGCUUCGCGGCUUGAGUGAGGAAGAGAUCGUUGACUCGAAUCGCUCCACCCAGUCAAUCGUUCGGGGUGCCCUUCACCGGGUGUCUCGGGCGGCCGGCAACGUUUACUUUGAACAAAUUAGAGUGCUCAAAGCAGGUGUAUCCCAACGCCUGAAUAUCGCAGCAUGGAAUGAUGGAAUAGGACCUCGGUCCGAUUUUGCUGGUCUUUUACUUUUGGACCCGAGGUAAUGGUCAAUAGAGACGGACGGGGGCAUUCGUACUGCGGCGACAGAGGUGAAAUUCUUGGACCGCCGCAAGACGAACAACAGCGAAGGCAUUUGCCAAGAAUGUUUUCCUUGAUCAAGAACGAAAGUUAGAGGUUCGAAGGCGAUCAGAUACCGCCCUAGUUCUAACCAUAAACGAUGCCAACCAGCAAUCCGUCGGAGUUACUCCAAUGACUCGACGGGCAGCUUCCGGGAAACCAAAGUCUUUGGGUUCCGGGGGAAGUAUGGUUGCAAAGCUGAAACUUAAAGGAAUUGACGGAAGGGCACCACCAGGAGUGGAGCCUGCGGCUUAAUUUGACUCAACACGGGAAACCUCACCAGGCCCGGACACUGGAAGGAUUGACAGAUUGAGAGCUCUUUCUUGAUUCGGUGGGUGGUGGUGCAUGGCCGUUCUUAGUUGGUGGAGCGAUUUGUCUGGUUAAUUCCGAUAACGAACGAGACUCUAGCCUGCUAAAUAGGUGACGGGUUUUAUCAAUUGAAACCGAAGGGAGUACGGAGGCGUCGGGAUCAGGUGGCGUUGGUUUCGGGUUUCAGCUGGUUCAGUUCCUUUAGUGAAGUUGUUUAGCUGUCUCGGUUUUUUGCUUGUCGUUUCGGAAAGGGGGGUUGCGGCGCAAGUCGUGGCUUUCUGGACUGGGCGAUGGGUGAGGGCUUGGAUGGCGGCGCUACGCGGGGGUUGGAUCGACUGUUAUUCGGCCAGUGUCAUCCCCGGCGAUACCUUCUGCUCUCGCGUCCGUCACGCAGUCUUCUUAGAGGGACAAGCGGCGUCCAGCCGCGUGACAGUGAGCAAUAACAGGUCUGUGAUGCCCUUAGAUGUCCUGGGCCGCACGCGCGCUACACUGAAGGAAUCAGCGUGUUUCACUCUCCCUGUCCGAAAGGACCGGGUAACCCCGCUGAACCCUCCCUUUUGGGU